AGGUGCGAUCAUACCAGCACUAAUUUACCGGAUCCCAUCAGAUCUCCGCAGUUAAGCGCACUUGGCCUAGAGUAGUACUACGAUGGAUGACCUCCUAGGAAGUCCUUGUGUUGCACCUC
Molecule: non-coding RNA, 119 nt
Organism: Lupinus angustifolius (narrow-leaved blue lupine)
Lineage: Eukaryota; Viridiplantae; Streptophyta; Magnoliopsida; Fabales; Fabaceae
Source: Rfam